ACGGAGGAUGCAAGCGUUAUCCGGAAUCAUUGGGUUUAAAGGGUCCGUAGGCGGAUAAUUAAGUCAGGGGUGAAAGUCUGCAGCUCAACUGCAGGACUGCCCUUGAUACUGGUUAUCUUGAAUCGUUGUGAAGUGGCUAGAAUAUGUAGUGUAGCGGUGAAAUGCAUAGAUAUUACAUAGAAUACCGAUUGCGAAGGCAGGUCACUAACAACGUAUUGACGCUAAGGGACGAAAGCGUGGGGAGCGAACAGG
This 252-nucleotide ribosomal RNA is filed under the name uncultured bacterium. RNAcentral's name for it is "partial 16S ribosomal RNA". It matches the Rfam family "Bacterial small subunit ribosomal RNA", at positions 525 to 776 of the family's 1533-position model. The record is from RNAcentral.